UAACCUCAGAAGUCACAUUCUAUAGAAUCCUCUUAGUAAAGGCAGGUCAGCCUUUUUUAGUGGGAGAGGGGUUACAGAAGUGCAGGAGUACCUGAAGGAAUCAGUGGAGGCGUCUGGGACGCUGGCCAUCACAGGGGUCUUCGGGAAGGAUGUUGGGAGCCUGGUGGUUUCUGAGCCAACAAGCACAUAUACAUAUGUGUGUGAAGCCUGGGAAUGAGACGGCAAGUUUUUGGUACCUUCAGGUAGCACCUUUCUCCAAGGAGCUCAGAAAGCUGCAUGAACAUUAUUCAGCAUUAUAUAUGGUGCUUCUGUUCUCACGUGUUUGUUUGAAUUGUUCAGUUCUGCUUCCACUGUGGUUUCUUUUUUUCCCGUUUUUCUCCUGUUGCUACUUGCAGUUAUAAUGUUCUGGUAUAUCCAUUUACUAAAGUGACUCAAGACUUAUGUUUUAGGAAUCUAGAAUACCAAGAUAGCAUGCUGAAAAAAAGAAGUUUUUUAUAUGAUUGCAACCUAGUGAUUCAGCCUUUUAUAUAUUACAUAUUGAAUAAAUGUAUGAACAUUCUCA
Molecule: long non-coding RNA, 562 nt
Filed under: Vulpes vulpes (red fox)
Lineage: Eukaryota; Metazoa; Chordata; Mammalia; Carnivora; Canidae
Description: lncRNA (ENSVVUG00000012137.1)
Source: RNAcentral